This 497-nucleotide ribosomal RNA is filed under the name uncultured bacterium. RNAcentral's name for it is "partial 16S ribosomal RNA". It matches the Rfam family "Bacterial small subunit ribosomal RNA", at positions 28 to 507 of the family's 1533-position model. The record is from RNAcentral.
GAUGAACGCUGGCGGCGUGCCUAAUACAUGCAAGUCGAGCGAACAGACGAGGAGCUUGCUCCUCUGACGUUAGCGGCGGACGGGUGAGUAACACGUGGAUAACCUACCUAUAAGACUGGGAUAACUUCGGGAAACCGGAGCUAAUACCGGAUAAUAUAUUGAACCGCAUGGUUCAAUAGUGAAAGACGGUUUUGCUGUCACUUAUAGAUGGAUCCGCGCCGCAUUAGCUAGUUGGUAAGGUAACGGCUUACCAAGGCGACGAUGCGUAGCCGACCUGAGAGGGUGAUCGGCCACACUGGAACUGAGACACGGUCCAGACUCCUACGGGAGGCAGCAGUAGGGAAUAUUCCGCAAAGGGCGAAAGCCUGACGGAGCAACGCCGCGUGAGUGAUGAAGGUCUUCGGAUCGUAAAACUCUGUUAUUAGGGAAGAACAAAUGUGUAAGUAACUAUGCACGUCUUGACGGUACCUAAUCAGAAAGCCACGGCUAACUACGUG